Molecule: small nucleolar RNA, 126 nt
Filed under: Sorex araneus (European shrew)
Lineage: Eukaryota; Metazoa; Chordata; Mammalia; Eulipotyphla; Soricidae
Description: Small nucleolar RNA SNORA20 (ENSSARG00000020077.1)
Source: RNAcentral
UUUUCCUUUAAUUUGCUUCUCUGGAAAUGAUCUGAGCAGUUAGAUGGUUGGAAUAAAGUGACAUACGGCCUUUGUAAAUGUGGGUGAAGUGACCAUUUCAUCCCCAAUGCAUGGUCUACAACAUUU